This is a long non-coding RNA of Caretta caretta (loggerhead turtle), 1952 nucleotides long. RefSeq lists it as uncharacterized. The record is from RefSeq and is a predicted model, not a curated record. Lineage: Eukaryota; Metazoa; Chordata; Testudines; Cheloniidae.
UCCUGAGUGCAGGAAAUAGCUCAUGUUAAAUACGUUCACUUUUCAGUUUUCCUUUCUUCUAAAAUGGAGCUUGACAGAUUGGGCUUUUCAGCUCCCCCUUUUUUUCACCACCUCUGCUUUCUACCUCAGAAAUACUCUUCAGGAAGCAGGAGUUAAUCUUGGUGAGGAAACGAUAAGGUGAUACUUGAUUUUUCAGGGGAAAGCAGAAGGAUAUGACUGCUUAGUAACUGCACAGAAACGUACAGGCCUCUCUUUUUAAGGCUUCCCUUUGCUUUUCCUUUCACAUCCCUUAAAGUUGAGAACUGCAGCAGACUGAAGGCCUGGUUGGUGGGAUGCAAGAAUAGUUUAAAUAGCAUCUAGAAUAGGAAGGAAGUGUUAGGAAGGUACAAUGAUAAAACAGCUUCCCUGUACUUUUCUAUCAGCUAGUAGGAUCAGGUGAAUUGGGUCGUUAGUUUCCCUACUUUGAUGCAUCCUGGCUGGCACAGAAAUGUGUCUUUUGAAGUUGUUUCAUACUCAGCCAAGUUUUUCACAUGAUUCCAAAUACUGGAUAACAAAGAGAGAGAGCAUGAACAUUGUCUUUAUUAAAUGAUGUCAAGCCAGCAUCCUGUAUAUGGAGACAAUGUAAAAGUUUUUGUCUGUUUUUGGCAUUAGGAUUAAAACUGCUCUAAAAUGCUUACAUUAAAAGGCCUUGAAUAGGACAGAAUUUGGGAGCUUAUUCUUUAAUAAGUGUAUGUGUUGCUCAUGAAGGAUAACAAUUGAGGCCCUCACCAGUGUACUAUAAUCAUGCCAUGGAGAGAUCACCUCUAGUGGUGAGGGGGGUUCACUUAUUCUCAGUGCCCAUUUAGUCCUUGGUCUUUUUGCUAAGACUGACAGCAAGAAUGUUAGUUAGGAGCAAUUAUGAUAGGAUUUUCUAUUGACCCCUGUCCACUGGGAGCUGGACUGAGACCACCAAAUUUAUUUAACUGAGCAUGGUGUUGGACUACUAAGAAAAGUGAAACUAUUGCUUUAAAGAAGGACAAAAGAAGGAGAAAUAUCCCUCAAAUGAUGGAGAGGAAAUGGAUGAAAUACGUGACGGAAGUGGAGAAAGAAUGUAGAGUACGGAAGCAUAGCACUCAGUAAGCCUGCAGAAGAGGUAAGCAGAACCAUCAAAUAUAGUUUGUAGGAGUUCUCCUGCUAUUUAAUGAUUUUGAAGUUUUUUAGGCCUGCAGGUCAACAUCCCAAGAAGAUGUCGGUGCAACUAAGAAGGAAGAUCAAGAACCUGGAAGAUAGGGAGAGACAGGUUCUCUGGAAGGGAAAGCUGGAAAUGAAGCAGGUUAAGAGCUUCACCUGUCACAGAAAAAUUACACUUGCAAUAAAGCAGAUGUCAAAAGGACAGUAUUAGCUUGGAAGACUUCAAAACAGGUGUUUGGAAGAAGGAGGGAAUCUCAUUCAUAACCUAAACUGAAAAUAUUCAACAUAAACAGCAACUUACUUGCAUCAAGACUAUAUCAAGGCUUGACAAGUUCACCUGUCUGGUGCCUCAUGCAGCUGAUUUAUCUGCCUGGACAGGUGGAAAACUGCCUAGACUUAUCCGUGAGUAAAGUGGAGUUGUUAGUGCAGUGCCAUUGAGCAAGUGCUUUUUCUCACUGCAACAGUUGGAGUAAGCAUGUUACAGUGCUACAAAUUAGCAGACCGCUUUAAAACAGUUCCCAAGCAUUGAAAUUAGAAGUGCUUAAUGCAGAAUUCAUAUUUUCUAGCUCAGGCACAACGGGACUCUGGUGAAUUUAAUUUUUAUUGCUUUCAUGUUUUAAGUCAUUUGUCUUUUGGAGGCAAUCAUGGGAGCUGCAUUACAGCAGGACAUAUGAAGAUUCUUGUUUGCAUCGUGUAAUCCUGAUUAUAUUAAUUCUUUACUACAAGCAAAUGCCACCUGGAAAAUAAAAUUCUGUUCUUCCACUCGUACUCAUGUUGCACAA